UACGUAGGGUGCGAGCGUUAAUCGGAAUUACUGGGCGUAAAGCGUGCGCAGGCGGUUUUGUAAGCCAGAUGUGAAAUCCCCGGGCUUAACCUGGGAAUGGCGUUUGGGACUGGGAGUCUGGAGUGCGGCAGAGGAGACUGGAAUUCCUGGUGUAGCAGUGAAAUGCGUAGAUAUCAGGAGGAACACCGAUGGCGAAGGCAGGUCUCUGGGCUGACACUGACGCUCAUGCACGAAAGCGUGGGGAGCAAACAGG
Molecule: ribosomal RNA, 253 nt
Filed under: uncultured bacterium
Lineage: Bacteria
Description: partial 16S ribosomal RNA
Rfam family: Bacterial small subunit ribosomal RNA
Source: RNAcentral